AAAUUGUUGAAAGGGAAGCAUUUAUGACCAGACUUGCGCCGGGCAGCUCAUCAGGGGUUCUCCCCUGUGCACUCUGCCCGGCUCAGGCCAGCAUCGGUUCUCGUGGGAGGAUAAGAACAGUGGGAACGUGGCCCCCCUCCGGGGGGGUGUUAUAGCCCAUUGUACGAUACUCUCGUGGGGACCGAGGUUCGCGCUCCGCAAGGAUGCUGGC
Molecule: ribosomal RNA, 211 nt
Filed under: Cytospora sp.
Lineage: Eukaryota; Fungi; Ascomycota; Sordariomycetes; Diaporthales; Cytosporaceae
Description: partial large subunit ribosomal RNA
Source: RNAcentral